AAUAAGUUCUUGUUUCUUGUGAGCAACUCUUAUUAAAACAUUGGAUAGAAGGUGAGAUUGUAACUUGCUAAAGAUUAAAAUUCCAUAAAUAUUUCAUCAAGUGUGAAUCUCAACCCUCUUAGCUAUACAGAUCUAAUGGUGGGCCAAAACCAUAAUGGAAGGACAAGUCCUAGCUUCAGCAACCUGUCUGGCAAGCCCCUUCCACCCAUCCCCUCUCUUCUGUUUUGUAGAUGCUUCUCAUCAUGACUGCCCUGCAGCCUGCCAUUUUCUCCAUAUUGGCCAAUGGUGGACAGAUUGCUUGUUCACCUCCAUUUUCCUCUAAAACCAGGUCUCAAGGUAAGCAUAUAAGGGCUCCUAUCCCAUUGUGAUAUGGAUGAGAUAGGAGAAGGUUAGGAAAGAGAAGAUCUUGGACAAGAGGUUAGGCCAGCCUGACUUCUCAGAAAAGAAGUCUCCAAUAAAUCUGGGCAGAGGCUUUGACUAACCUCAUUAAUCACACAGAGAACUGCAGUUCCACAGCUUGAGGCCAGCCCUGAUGGCUAACCCAGGAAGUCAUGGGUUUAACUCCUAACUCCUGGGAGAGGAAUGAGAGUGAGUUGAAUGUCUGUCUUCCUGAUUUUUAUGUUAGUAUUCGGAUUAGAUCACAGAAGGUAGAGAGCCAAGUUUGAUUCUAGUUCUACCAUUAAUCUACUUUGUUGCUUAUGACAGUAUCUCUAUGUCCUGGUGUGGGGAUAAAUGGGAGAAACUUCCUUAACUCAGACACCAGACUGUGAGUGGGAUAUCUACCACCUUUAAAACUUAGCAUAACCAAUGUUAUAUUUCAUCUCACACUGCAGUGAUGAAUUGCCACCUCCUUAUACUGGAGACUUUCCUGAUGACUGUGUUGACGCGAAUGUACUACCGAAGAAAAGACCACAAGGUUGGGUAUGAAACUUUCUCGUCUCCAGACCAGGACUUGAACCUCAAAGCCUGAGGAGAAUGGCUUGGACAAUGAUGGGGAGAGAUGCUGUACGCAUUUGGAGAACAUGAGAUUUCUUCGCUGUCCCUCACCUUCACCAAAUGGGAAAGAAUCUCAUUGUCAGCACAAGCUAAUGGAUUACAUUUGACUAUAGAGAUGAAGGCAAAUUAUGCAGUAGAAUGAAACUGUUUUGGAUAUUGCCCAGGGAAGGUAUUUUAAGUUUUGUAAUAAACAGGAUACAAUCUGAAACUCUGUAACUACUAGGCACACAGCCUCUGUGGAUGCCACUAAUUACUAACCCUGAAAAUUG
This 1265-nucleotide long non-coding RNA is filed under the name Marmota monax (woodchuck). Lineage: Eukaryota; Metazoa; Chordata; Mammalia; Rodentia; Sciuridae. The record is from RNAcentral.